Molecule: unclassified non-coding RNA, 300 nt
Filed under: uncultured Ochroconis
Lineage: Eukaryota; Fungi; Ascomycota
Description: sequence contains 5.8S rRNA gene, ITS2
Rfam family: 5.8S ribosomal RNA (bases 1-71)
Source: RNAcentral
GUGAGUCAUCGAAUCUUUGAACGCACAUUGCGCCUCUCGGUAUUCCGGGAGGCACGCCUGUUCGAGCGCCAUUACACACCCCAAGCUUGGCUUGAUGUUGGACGCUGUCUGUGAAAGGACAGGUCUGGAACGCGUGGGCGCCGCCGCCGGACCACGAGCGUAGCAAGACGCAAGUCAAUCGCUCUGUGGGCUUACUCGGUGGACGGCCGUCUAGACGCUGGGGUAACACCUGCGUCGAACAGACACAACCAAAGUUUGGCCUCGGAUCAGGCGGGGAUACCCGCUGAACUUAAGCAUAUC